RNAcentral lists this ribosomal RNA (253 nucleotides) under uncultured bacterium. RNAcentral's name for it is "partial 16S ribosomal RNA". It matches the Rfam family "Bacterial small subunit ribosomal RNA", at positions 524 to 776 of the family's 1533-position model. The record is from RNAcentral.
UACGUAGGGGCCGAGCGUUGUCCGGAGUUAUUGGGCGUAAAGCGCGCGCAGGCGGCCUCGCGCGCCCGACGUGAAAGCCCCCGGCUUAACCGGGGAGGGUCGUUGGGGACGGCGGGGCUUGAGGGCGGGAGAGGUCGGUGGAAUUCCCGGUGUAGUGGUGAAAUGCGUAGAGAUCGGGAGGAACACCUGUGGCGAAGGCGGCCGACUGGGCCGACCCUGACGCUGAGGCGCGAAGGCGUGGGGAGCAAACAGG